This 1372-nucleotide ribosomal RNA is filed under the name uncultured bacterium. RNAcentral describes it as "bacterial SSU rRNA". It matches the Rfam family "Bacterial small subunit ribosomal RNA", at positions 28 to 1381 of the family's 1533-position model. The record is from RNAcentral.
AACGAACGCUGGCGGCGUGCCUAACACAUGCAAGUCGAACGUGAAAAUCUUCGGAUGAGUAAAGUGGCAGACGGGUGAGUAACACGUGGGUAAUCUACCUCAGAGUCUGGGAUAACCUGCCGAAAGGCGGGCUAAUACCGGAUAUCCCAAAAGAAUUGUAAGUGAUUUUUUUGGAAAAGGGAGCUGGCAACAGCCCUUGCUUUGAGAGGAGCCUGCGCCUCAUUAGCUAGUUGGUAAGGUAAUGGCUUACCAAGGCUUCGAUGAGUAGCUGGUCUAAGAGGACGACCAGCCACACUGGAACUGAAACACGGUCCAGACUCCUACGGGAGGCAGCAGUGGGGAAUAUUGCGCAAUGGACGCAAGUCUGACGCAGCAACGCCGCGUGAGUGAAGAAGGCCUUCGGGUUGUAAAGCUCUGUCGGAAGGGAAGAAAAGUCUUGGAGUUAAUAGCUUCAGGAUUUGACGGUACCUUCAAAGGAAGCACCGGCUAACUCCGUGCCAGCAGCCGCGGUAAUACGGAGGGUGCAAGCGUUGUUCGGAAUUAUUGGGCGUAAAGGGGAGGUAGGUUGUCUUAUUUGUCUAAGGUGAAAUCCCUGGGCUCAACCCAGGACGUGCCUUAGAAACGGUAAGACUAGAGUCCUAGAGAGGGUCGCGGAAUUCCCGGUGUAGCGGUGAAAUGCGUAGAGAUCGGGAGGAACACCAGAAGCGAAGGCGGCGACCUGGACAGGUACUGACACUCAACUCCGAAAGCGUGGGGAGCAAACAGGAUUAGAUACCCUGGUAGUCCACGCUGUAAACGAUGGGCACUAGAUUUGGUGGGACUUGACCCCCGCUGAGUCGUAGCUAACGCGAUAAGUGCCCCGCCUGGGGAGUACGGUCGCAAGAUUAAAACUCAAAGGAAUUGACGGGGGCCCGCACAAGCGGUGGAUCAUGUGGUUUAAUUCGAAGCAACGCGAAGAACCUUACCUGGGUUUGACAUCUCCUGACAUCUCUAGAGAUAGAGCUUCUAAGUUUACUUAGCAGGAAGACAGGUGCUGCAUGGCUGUCGUCAGCUCGUGUGGUGACAUGUUGGGUUAAGUCCCGCAACGAGCGCAACCCUCGUCCUUAGUUGCCAGCAUUAAGUUGGGCACUUUAAGGAGACUGCCGUGGUUAACACGGAGGAAGGUGGGGAUGACGUCAAGUCCUCAUGGCCCUUAUGCCCAGGGCGACACACGUGAUACAAUGGCCGGUACAAAGAGUUGCAAAGCGGCAACGCCAAGCUAAUCUCAAAAAGCCGGUCUCAGUUCGGAUUGAAGUCUGCAAUUCGACUUCAUGAAGUUGGAAUCGCUAGUAAUCGCGGAUCAGCACGCCGCGGUGAAUACGUUCCCGGGCCU